This 97-nucleotide ribosomal RNA is filed under the name Micractinium inermum. RNAcentral describes it as "partial LSU rRNA". It matches the Rfam family "Eukaryotic large subunit ribosomal RNA", at positions 1 to 97 of the family's 3401-position model. The record is from RNAcentral. Lineage: Eukaryota; Viridiplantae; Chlorophyta; Trebouxiophyceae; Chlorellales; Chlorellaceae.
CGACCUGAGCUCAGGCAAGACUACCCGCUGAACUUAAGCAUAUCAAUAAGCGGAGGAAAAGAAACUAACUAGGAUGCCCUUAGUAACGGCGAGCGAA